Molecule: long non-coding RNA, 3320 nt
Filed under: Salmo salar (Atlantic salmon)
Lineage: Eukaryota; Metazoa; Chordata; Actinopteri; Salmoniformes; Salmonidae
Description: lncRNA (ENSSSAG00000115951.1)
Source: RNAcentral
AUUUAUUUGAGAAAGAGAAGUAAAUAUUUCAUGAUGCUUUUCUCCAACACUUGAGUACUGGUAUAGAAUAGAGUAUUACAGCCUCAUAAUGUACAGCAGGGUUUCCCAAACUCAGUUGUGGGGCCCACCCUGGGUCCAUAUAUCUUUUUUGCCCUAGCACUACACAGCUGAUUCAAAUAACCAAUUUAAAUGACUUUGGGAAACCCUGCUUUACAGCAUAAAUAUACUUGUAAAUAGACUUACUGCAUUUCACAAACACUAGCAUUAGAAAUACAGUACUGACAUAGACAAAUAGCACAGUACAACAUAAUGCUUUUACAUACAGUACAGUGGUGGUGAAGGCUAGGAUAAAUCCUUUUCAUUAGGGAGAUGGAUGGCACAAAUCAUUUAUGAACCCAGGUUGAUUUUCAGUAGUGGGGUCCUGUACCAUCAUCUUGAUGGUAAUAACUUGUAUUAUAAAUCACUACAUUCCUCCCUCAGCCAUGUGCAGACCAGACUCAUAUGAAGUUUCAAAGGUGGAAUGGGUGUUAUAGAACAUGUGUAAAUUAUAAUUCAUUGGUGGGUUAAAGUGCAUCAACUUUUGAAUAAGCUUAUCUCUGCUUGAUUAAUAACUGGACAUAUUUUCCUUUUUUGCCCCAUUCAAAAUACCCUGGUAGAUGCGUCAUGGGUAAAACAUUUGUAUUUCCAUACUUAUUCCUAAGAAUAAGAGUAGGCUUUAGCCGGCUGGUGUCAGUAUUAGAGGACCAAAAAUUAUCCAAGGCACUGGUUUAACGGUACUGAUUUACAAGAAUAUGAAUAUGAAAACGUAUUAAAAGAUUACAACUUUAAGAAGAAGAGUUAAAGUGAUGGAAUUAAGGCAGAGAUAACGCAGCAGCAUCCUGAUCUGGGGGUUUGGGUAGUCCUGAGUGCUGUCCCUGUCACUUUCUCUGGGGGUUGGGUCCAAAUAGCUUGGUUAAGGGAUGGGUAGUCCUGAGUGCUGUCCCAAAAAAGGAAAGAGAUAGGGAAGAGAUAAUGAAAAGGAUGUAGCAAGCAGUAUCUACAAAUGUCUGGUGUUUAGGCCCUCAGUGACAUCAUAAUCACAGUAUCUAUGAAUGUCUGGUGGUCAGGUCCUCAGUGACAUCAUAAUCACAGUAUCUACAAAUGUCUGGUGGUCAGGUCCUCAGUGACAUUAUAAUCACAGUAUCUAUGAAUGUCUGGUGGUCAGGUCCUCAGUGACAUCAUAAUCACAGUAUCUAUGAAUGUCUGGUGGUCAGGUCCUCAGUGACAUCAUAAUCACAGUAUCUAUGAAUGUCUGGUGGUCAGGUCCUCAGUGACAUCAUAAUCACAGUAUCUAUGAAUGUCUGGUGGUCAGGUCCUCAGUGACAUUAUAAUCACAGUAUCUAUGAAUGUCUGGUGGUCAGGUCCUCAGUGACAUUAUAAUCACAGUAUCUAUGAAUGUCUGGUGGUCAGGUCCUCAGUGACAUUAUAAUCACAGUAUCUAUGAAUGUCUGGUGGUCAGGUCCUCAGUGACAUCAUAAUCAUAAGCUAUAGACAAGUCUGUUGUUACAGCCUGAUAGAGAACACACUCACCCUUAUAUGACAUAGUUUUUUAUUUUGCGCUUCUUGAUACACCUGUAAGUAAUGAUGCCAAUGCAAACAACGACCAGGACAGGGAUAAGUAAACACCACCACCCUUAAUAACAACAGAUAAAAACACAACAUUAUUGGAUAAGUAUGUAUCAUAUUACAAUUGGAGGACUAAUUAUUUACAAUGAGGAGGAAUCAUAAAGCACUAAUCAAUCAACGGAUUAAUAUUUUUUUUUUUAAAAAGCCACUGAGGAGUAUAUUAGUCUGUCAGAGUGAAAUUGUCAGUGUUGAGCAGCAUUGCUGCGCUGUGUAUUUCUGCACUCACCAGGAUGUCCAUAUUGAGCAGCAGCUCCAGUGAAGUCUGAACCUGCCACCAAGACAAACAACUCAACAGCCAGACUGCAGAUGUCUUUGUUAGGGAUUCACUCAACUGUACACAGGACAAUUAAGUCUCACUAACAAAGCUAGGAUGGGAAUCAAUCCGAGUGUCAAUUUGGACAAUGCUCCAUUUUAAGGUAAUUUUCAAUUGAGCAACCGUGAAUGUGAUCUCCACUAAGGCAGAAACAUUGCCUUUAAAACGUGCAUUGUGGGCAAAGCUCAAUCAGACUGAAUCCUGGCCUUAGUGUUCAAUUAAGCAAGGGACACUGCAUAAAUAGUGCUGUGUAAAAUGACCAUAAGAUUCUCUACAGCCAGUUUGUGAAAAUAAUACAGAAUGUUUGAAUCGAUGACUCACCAUUCACAGUAGUUGGUGCGAUGCCGAUGACAAGGCAAUCUGAAAUAGCAGAACAGGGCUGAUUAGCCUACAUGCAACAAUUGACAGACGGAGCACAUAUGGAAAUUUGUUUUUGGUUUGGUGAUGGAUUUUUUCUCAUACUCUAUAAUAUAGGCUACUGGUAACUUCCUAUAGCCCCUGGGAUUAUAGACACCCAGGACCAUCGAUUUGUUCACUCUACGCACUCUAGCAUUUUGUUCACGUUGUAUUAUCUUGGGCCAUCACAGAGACACUCACUGGCUUGUUCAUAGUUGGUAAUGGCUGUGCUGUUGGCCUCCAGGGCAGGCUGGAAGCUCUCUGAGACGUUUCUGCACACAGUGUAAUAAUAAUCCAGACUACACAUGGUGCACCUCCCAGAAGGAGGAUAGGGGGUGGAUGUGCAUUGCUGGAAAGGACCUGGCACCAUCAGCAGAUUCUGGUUCAGGUCAUCAUUAUGAUCAAAACAUUUCGUCACCUCUGGGCACUUUGUGUCAUUACACCGGAAACACAUGUCCUUCAUUGCAACUGAGAGAAACAGUGAGAUGUAUUCACACAAACAGGCAGAGGAGGAUUACACUGUUGGCCAGAACAGACAACUCAUCACAUCGGCCAUCCAGUGGAAUAGAGACAAAAGUAUACCAGUUUCAUGGGUUAACUUUGGUUUUAAUCACACAUACAUGUAUACAUACACAUAUACGUUAGAUUAUUCAAUGUAAAGAUCAUUCUAUAGCUGGGGUGGUGACAUUUUUCUCAUGUCAGGCAUUAAUACUGAUGAAUGAUAGAGUGUGUUAUCAUACCUACCUUUUAUUCGAAUCCAACCUGUGAAAUAAUGGACCAGGAAUAUUAGUCUAACGCAAACACUACAAAUUCCUGCAAUCAUUUGUCAUACCAUCUCUUCAAGUAUGAGUUUUAGGACAUUCUUAUCUUUAUUAAAUUCCUAACAGAAAAUAAGAAAUAAAGCUCUUCCUUCCUGUUUUUACUGAACUUUUGGUAUUUGAAGGAC